This 225-nucleotide long non-coding RNA is filed under the name Salvia miltiorrhiza (redroot sage). RNAcentral's name for it is "long non-coding RNA (SMIL_LNC001548)". Lineage: Eukaryota; Viridiplantae; Streptophyta; Magnoliopsida; Lamiales; Lamiaceae. The record is from RNAcentral.
AGAAAUUGGAGAAAGCCGAGCUUGCGAUGGGAUUCGACGUGAAGAUGGAAGAAAGUAGAGAUUGGGCUUUUAAUUACUUGUUAUAUUUUUUAUGAAGCUCAAAACUCUUAGUUUUAUUUUAUUUUGGAUAUUAAUUAAGUUUAGGGCCGAAGCCCAUGUUAUUUUGGUUUAAGCGGCCUAGAAGGGAUUUAUUUCCUUAUUUUGGUGUUAGGGCCGCAUAGUUAG